This 468-nucleotide ribosomal RNA is filed under the name uncultured bacterium. Its description in RNAcentral is "bacterial SSU rRNA". It matches the Rfam family "Bacterial small subunit ribosomal RNA", at positions 328 to 793 of the family's 1533-position model. The record is from RNAcentral.
GUACCAGACUCCUACGGGAGGCAGCAGUGAGGAAUAUUGGUCAAUGGGCUUACGCCUGAACCAGCCAAGUCGCGUGAGGGAAGACUGCCCUAUGGGUUGUAAACCUCUUUUGUCAGGGAGCAAUUGGCGCUACGUGUAGCGUUAUCGAGAGUACCUGAAGAAAAAGCAUCGGCUAACUCCGUGCCAGCAGCCGCGGUAAUACGGAGGAUGCGAGCGUUAUCCGGAUUUAUUGGGUUUAAAGGGUGCGUAGGCGGAAUGCCAAGUCAGCGGUAAAAUCGCGGGGCUAAACCUCGCUCCGCCGUUGAAACUUGCGUUCUUGAGUGGGCGAGAAGUAUGCGGAAUGCGUGGUGUAGCGGUGAAAUGCAUAGAUAUCACGCAGAACUCCGAUUGCGAAGGCAGCAUACCGGCGCCCAACUGACGCUGAAGCACGAAAGCGUGGGUAUCGAACAGGAUUAGAUACCCGCGUAA